Molecule: long non-coding RNA, 1648 nt
Filed under: Gallus gallus (chicken)
Lineage: Eukaryota; Metazoa; Chordata; Aves; Galliformes; Phasianidae
Description: lncRNA (ENSGALG00010004099.1)
Source: RNAcentral
UAUGGGGCUUUAUGUGGGUUAUGGGGUCUUACAGGGUGUGGGGGGUUAUGGGGCCUUAUGGGGGUUAUGGGGCUUUAUGGGGCUUUAUGGGGGUUAUGGGGCGCUGUGGAUACAUUGUGGGGUGUUGUGAAGGCGGUGUGGGGCGCUGUGGGUCCCUAUGGGGUUCCUAUGGGGUCCCCGUGGGGUCUCUGCGCUUCAUAGGGGUUCCUGUGGGGUCUCUGUGGGGUCUCUAUGGGGUCUCUAUGAUGUUUAUGGGUGUUUGCGGGUUCCUAUGGGUCACUAUGGGGUUUCUAUGGUCCUUAUGGGUCUCUAUGGGUUGCUGUGGGUCCCUAUGGGGUCCCUAUGGGGCCAUGCGGUCUGUAUUGGGUCUGUACGGGGUCUGUAUGGGAUCUCUAUGAUGUUUAUGGGUCUCUGUGGGUCGCUAUGGGUCCGUAUGGCCUCUGUGGGUCCCUGUGGGUCCCUAUGGGGUCAUAUAGUCCGUAUGGGGUCUUUAUGGGGUCUCUAUGGGUGUCUAUGGGUCCCUAUGGGUCGCUGUGGGGUCUCUAUGGUUGCUAUGGGGUUUCUAUGGUUGCUAUGGGGUCUCUAUGGUUGCUAUGGGUCUCUAUGGGUUGUUGUGGGUCCCUAUAGCGUCUGUGGGUUCCUAUGGGCCCUAUGGGGUCCCUAUGGGUCCAUAUAGUCUGUAUGGGGUCUGUAUGGGAUCUUUAUGAUGUUUAUGAGUGUUUAUGGGUCCCUAUGGGUCGCUAUGGGGUCUCUAUGGUUCCUAUGGGGUUCUAUGGGUCGCUAUGGGUCCUUAUGGUGUUCGUGGGCCCCUAUGGGUCCCUAUGGGGCCAUGUAGUCUGUAUGGGGUGGUUGUCACGUUUAUGGGUCGCUAUGGGGUUUCUGUGUUUGCUAUGGGUUUGUGUGUGUUGCUAUGGGCCCGUAUGGUCCCUGUGGGUCCGUGUGGGUCCCUAUGGGUCCCUGUGGGUCCCUAUGGGUCACUGUGGGUCGCUAUGGGUCACUGUGGGGUGGCUAUGGGGUGGCUAUGGGGUCAUGUGGUCUGUAUGGGGUCUCUAUGGGGUCUCUGGUAUUUAUGGGUCCUUAUGAGGUCUGUAUGUUCUCUAUGGGGUCUGUAUGUGUUGCUAUGGGUCUGUAUGUGUUGCUAUGGGUCCGUGUGGGUCCCUGUGGGUCCCUAUGGGUCACUGUGGGGUCGCUAUGGGUCGCUAUGGAGUGGCUAUGGGGUGGCUAUGGGGCCAUGCGGUCUGUAUGGGGUCUCUAUGGGGUCUCUGAUGUUUAUGUGUCCUUAUGAGGUGUGUAUGUUCCCUAUGGGGUCUGUAUGGUUUCUAUGGGGUCUGUAUGUGUUGCUAUGGGUCUGUAUGUUUGCUAUGGGCCCGUAUGGUCCCUGUGGGUCCGUGUGGGUCCCUAUGGGGUCGCUAUGGGGUGGCUAUGGGGUGGCUGUGGGGUUUUUGUCUCCGCAGACGGACGCGAUGACGUCGGACGACUUCGAUAUCGUCAUCGAGGCGAUGCUGGAGGCGCCCUACAAGAAGGAGGAGGCGCAGCCCGGACCCUCAAAGCCACCGACGGAAACUGCGCCCCCUCAGCAGCCGCCCGAGGAGCACAGCAAGGAGCCCAAAAAGGAGAGCGGGGGCAGCAGCAGGUGGGCAAUGGGGGG